UACGGAGGAUGCAAGCGUUAUCCGGAAUGAUUGGGCGUAAAGCGUCCGCAGGUGGCUGCUCAAGUCUGCUGUCAAAGACCGGGGCUUAACUUCGGAAAGGCAGUGGAAACUGAACAGCUAGAGUAUGGUAGGGGCAGAGGGAAUUCCUGGUGUAGCGGUGAAAUGCGUAGAGAUCAGGAAGAACAUCGGUGGCGAAGGCGCUCUGCUGGACCAGAACUGACACUCAGGGACGAAAGCGAGGGGAGCGAAUGGG
Molecule: ribosomal RNA, 253 nt
Filed under: uncultured bacterium
Lineage: Bacteria
Description: partial 16S ribosomal RNA
Rfam family: Bacterial small subunit ribosomal RNA
Source: RNAcentral